CGCGUAGGCGGUCAGCACAAGUCAGUUGUGAAAUCUCCGAGCUUAACUCGGAAAGGUCAACUGAUACUGUGCGACUAGAGUGCAGAAGGGGCAACUGGAAUUCUCGGUGUAGCGGUGAAAUGCGUAGAUAUCGAGAGGAACACCUGCGGCGAAGGCGGGUUGCUGGGCUGACACUGACGCUGAGGCGCGAAAGCUAGGGGAGCGAACG
This 208-nucleotide ribosomal RNA is filed under the name uncultured bacterium. Its description in RNAcentral is "partial 16S ribosomal RNA". It matches the Rfam family "Bacterial small subunit ribosomal RNA", at positions 568 to 774 of the family's 1533-position model. The record is from RNAcentral.